This 459-nucleotide ribosomal RNA is filed under the name uncultured bacterium. RNAcentral's name for it is "partial 16S ribosomal RNA". It matches the Rfam family "Bacterial small subunit ribosomal RNA", at positions 338 to 795 of the family's 1533-position model. The record is from RNAcentral.
CCUACGGGUGGCAGCAGUGAGGAAUAUUGGUCAAUGGGCGGGAGCCUGAACCAGCCAAGCCGCGUGAGGGAAGAAGGUACAGCGUAUCGUAAACCUCUUUUGUCAGGGAACAAAGGCGGGGACUAGUCCCCGGAUGAGGGUACCUGAAGAAAAAGCAUCGGCUAACUCCGUGCCAGCAGCCGCGGUAAUACGGAGGAUGCGAGCGUUAUCCGGAUUUAUUGGGUUGAACGGGUGCGCAGGCGGCCUGUGAAGUCAGCGGUAAGAGCCCGGGGCUCAACCCCGGCGAGCCGUUGAAACUGGCGUGCUGGAGUUGGAGAGAGGUACGCGGAAUGCGCGGUGUAGCGGUGAAAUGCUUAGAUAUCACGAAGAACUCCGAUUGCGAAGGCAGCUUACUGAACUGCCACUGACAUUGAUGCUCGAAAGUGUGGGUAUCAAACAGGAUUAGAUACCCGUGUAGUC